Molecule: long non-coding RNA, 329 nt
Filed under: Sus scrofa (pig)
Lineage: Eukaryota; Metazoa; Chordata; Mammalia; Artiodactyla; Suidae
Description: lncRNA (ENSSSCG00060069420.1)
Source: RNAcentral
UAGAAAAGGCCCAGUGUUGGAAUGGAAAGGCUGUAGGUCAGAGACUGACAAACUGUGGCCUUUGGGCCAAGUCCUGCCAGUCUGCUUUUUAUAGCCCUGAACUAAGAAUGCUUUUUUACAGUUUUUAAAGAAGACAAGAAUAAAUAAGAACAGGAGGGGAAGGAAGAUAAAGAAAAAUAAUACCAACCACCAUCGCCACACCACCAACACCACAACCACCAUCACAAGAACAGAAGAAGAGAGCAAACAGCAUGAAGGAAGAGGGACCAAACAGCAGAGAUGGCACAUAGCUUGGGAGUUAGAAGAGGCUGCUGGAUAGGGUAAGCUCC